Molecule: long non-coding RNA, 567 nt
Filed under: Pelobates cultripes (western spadefoot toad)
Lineage: Eukaryota; Metazoa; Chordata; Amphibia; Anura; Pelobatidae
Source: RNAcentral
GAGAACUCCCAUCUGCCUCAGCCUGCCACUGGACCAGGGAAACCACCCUCCAGGAAAAGGUAAGAACCUGGAGGGUGGCUAAAUGUAUGUCAGUAGGUCUGUGUGUGUGUGUCAGUCUGUGUGUAUGCCUGUGUGUGUGUGUGUCAGUAUGUCUGUGUGUAUGCCAGUAUGUCUGUGUGUGUGUGUGUGUGUGUCAGUAUGUCUGUGUGUAUGCCAGUAUGUCUGUGUGUGUAUGCCAGUAUGUCCAGUAUGUCUGUGUGUGUGUGUCAGUAUGUCCCAGUAUGUCUGUGUGUGUAUGCCAGUAUGUCUGUGUGUGUGUGUGUGUGUCAGUAUGUCUGUGUGUAUGCCAGUAUGUCUGUGUGUGUAUGUCAGUGUGUGUGUGUGCGUAUGUCUGUGUGUGUGUGUGUGUCAGUAUGUCUGUGUGUAUGCCAGUAUGUCUGUGUGUGUGUGUGUCAGUAUGUCUGUGUGUGUGUGUAUGUAGGUAUGUCUCUGUGUGUGUGUGUACGUGUGUGUCAGUAUGUCUGCCAGGAUAUAUUUGUGUGUCAGUGUAUGUGUGUGUCAGUAUGU